CCUACGGGUGGCAGCAGUGAGGAAUAUUGGUCAAUGGGCGGAAGCCUGAACCAGCCAAGUCGCGUGAGGGAAUAAGGCCCUACGGGUCGUAAACCUCUUUUGCCGGGGAGCAAGGGCGGGGACGUGUCCCGGCCCGGAGAGUACCCGGAGAAAAAGCAUCGGCUAACUACGUGCCAGCAGCCGCGGUAAUACGUAGGGGGCAAGCGUUAUCCGGAUUCACUGGGCGUAAAGGGAGCGCAGGCGGCAUGGCAAGUCUGAUGUGAAAACCCGGGGCCCAACCCCGGGAGUGCAUUGGAAACUGCCAGGCUGGAGUGUCGGAGGGGUAAGCGGAAUUCCUAGUGUAGCGGUGAAAUGCGUAGAUAUUAGGAGGAACGCCAGUGGCGAAGGCGGCUUACUAGACGACUACUGACGCUGAGGCUCGAAAGCGUGGGGAGCAAACAGGAUUAGAUACCCCUGUAGUC
RNAcentral lists this ribosomal RNA (461 nucleotides) under uncultured bacterium. Its description in RNAcentral is "partial 16S ribosomal RNA". It matches the Rfam family "Bacterial small subunit ribosomal RNA", at positions 338 to 795 of the family's 1533-position model. The record is from RNAcentral.